This 474-nucleotide ribosomal RNA is filed under the name uncultured soil bacterium. RNAcentral's name for it is "bacterial SSU rRNA". It matches the Rfam family "Bacterial small subunit ribosomal RNA", at positions 26 to 518 of the family's 1533-position model. The record is from RNAcentral.
AGGACGAACGCUGGCGGCGUGCUUAACACAUGCAAGUCGAACGGUGAACCCCGCUUGCGGGGGGAUCAGUGGCGAACGGGUGAGUAACACGUGGGCAACCUGCCCUCAGCUCUGGGAUAACUCCAAGAAAUUGGGGCUAAUACUGGAUACGACCGCUGACCGCAUGGUCUGGUGGUGGAAAGAUUUAUCGGCUGGGGGAUGGGCCCGCGGCCUAUCAGCUUGUUGGUGGGGUAGUGGCCUACCAAGGCGACGGCGGGUAGCCGGCCUGAGAGGGUGACCGGGCCACACUGGGACUGAGACACGGCCCAGACUCCUACGGGAGGCAGCAGUGGGGAAUAUUGCGCAAUGGGCGAAAGCCUGACGCAGCGACGCCGCGUGGGAUGACGGCCUUCGGGUUGUAAACCUCUUUCAGCAGGACGAAGCGAAGUGACGGUACCUGCAGAAGAGCACCGGCAACUACGUGCCAGCAGCCGC